AGCAGCGCUCCGGCUAGCUCCGGCACAAAUUAAGCACUGAUAGUACAAAUGCCAUGCAAACAUGUGAGCAACAAACAGUCCUGCCUCUGGUUUCAUGCUGUUCUGGUGACUGACAGGUGGUGGCGGUUUGCACAAAAAUGUGUUGCAAUGCACCUGCAAAGCCAAAAGUGAAGAACUGCAAGCUAAAAAAUCAUUGCUGUAAUCAUUUUUGAGGAAGUAAAUACACUCAACCAACUGAGUUAGAUCUGAACACUGAAUGUAAAUAAAAACUAAACACCUUUAUUUUGUUUAACCCAGUCUUCUUCUCAAGUCACUUACACAUACAGCAUCUCACAAUAGUAAGAACGCCCCUCACAUUUCAAAAAAUAUUUGAUUAUAUUUAUGUGAUAGGGAAGGCAACAGGGGUUUAGCACUAGGACCCAGGUAAAGGGGCAGAGUCUAUAAAUAGGGAAGGGAAGAUCACCUGGUCCUUUCUUUCUGCAGUCACACACCUGAGGGAGCAGCUGAGGCCAGCCUUUGUUUGGUUCUUGAUUGGACUUCGUGGUGGUGAGGGUCUAAAGCUUGGAGUGAUUGUCUAAACACAUCAGCUAAAGCACAGAUCCCAGUCACCUGCAUGCCUUCAACGGCGGGAGGGGAAUGUGUUUCUAAGAAAAGCAAGAUGCUGGGUGUGGCAAGGGCUGGUGUGCCCAGUGAGAGCGAAGGUGUUGGCAGUUGACCAGUUCCAUGUUCUGACCACCAAGAAGAAACUGUCCUGUUUCUUGGGCAUGGUGGGUUACUAUCGUGGGUUCUGCAACUUCUCCACAGUUGCAGCUCUACUCACUACUCUUCUUUGCCCAAAGGUUAAGUUUGACUGCUCUCUCUCCUGUCAAGAGGCCUUUGAGUCUGUCAAGUCUUUGUUCUUCCCCUGUUCUGGCAGCCCCACAGUUGGACCCCUCGUUCUCCCUGUAUGUGGAUGCUAGUAAGGUGGGAGCUGGUGCUGUACUCAUGCAGGCUAAUGAAAAUGGUGUGGACGGUUUCUUUUCUAAAAAGUUCAACUUGCAUCAGUUGAAAUUAUUAUUAAUCAUUGAAAAGGAAGCACUGGCACUCAUUUGGGUAUUGCAACGCUUGAGGUUUAUGUGGUUGGUGGGGUAAGUCUUUUAGUAGUUUACAUUGAUCAUAAUCCUCUAACUUUUCUCCACUCACUCCAAAACCCAAAUCAACAGCUUAUGCGAUGGUGUCUUUUCCUUCAGCCAUUUCAUUUAGACAUACAACAUGUAAAGGGUGCCGAGAACACAGUGGCUGAUGCCAUGACUCGAGCAGUGUCUGUGUAAGAUAACUUGUGUUUUUCCUCCCUGCAGUGUUUUGUUAGUUCUGGUGCUCUCUUCCCUCUUAAAUGCUUCUUAGGUACCAAGUUUGCUGAGGGUUGUGGCUUCAUGGCUCAAGACAUGGCACUGUCUGCAGGUUGUAAGGACAUUCACAUGUUAACCAUAAUGUAUCAGUGUAUUUGAUUAAGAUUAUUCAUUCUAAUAAUUCUGUUUGGAUAUUGGGGAUUAUUUGGGAAGCUCUGGCUGAAUUUUGGGGAUCCUACCUAGGACCCCAACCUUAAGGGUGGGGUGUGACGACUUCCCCCAGUCUUCCUGCCCGUGUGUGUCGUCUGUUUUGCAGAUGCUGGGUGUGGCUUGUAGGUGGAGCUGGGAGGGUCCAAUGCAUGUACCUGCCCCUCUGUGUUGGGCUUCCUAGAGGGCAUAAAAGGGCUGCCUUUCUGGGAAACGGUCUCUCUGUUGGCCUGGUGCUUCAACCCCAGCCUUUGUUUAAUUUGCUGCUCCCACCAACAUGCAUUACACUUCAUUCUCACUCAUCCACACACUUCUGACAUAUCAGAAGUAUAUCUACUUACUCCAUUGACUUAGUUGAGUUGUUUGUUGGUUUGAGUUAAAUAAACCACUUUUGUUCCUA
Micropterus dolomieu (smallmouth bass) is the source of this 1935-nucleotide long non-coding RNA. RefSeq lists it as uncharacterized. NCBI's taxonomy places the organism in Eukaryota, Metazoa, Chordata, Actinopteri, Centrarchiformes, Centrarchidae. The transcript is spliced from 4 exons. The record is from RefSeq and is a predicted model, not a curated record.